Molecule: long non-coding RNA, 1002 nt
Organism: Agrilus planipennis (emerald ash borer)
Lineage: Eukaryota; Metazoa; Arthropoda; Insecta; Coleoptera; Buprestidae
Exons: 4
Source: RefSeq, a predicted model, not a curated record
UUAAGGCAUAUCGCUUUCUGUUUACGAAUAUAAGUAUAAUUGAACGCACCUAUAAAAUGUAUUAUUUAUGUAUCAUAGGUAUAGAAGAAGUUUUUAUCUAUAUGGGUCAUCCGGCGAUUCUCAUCAUAGAUAAUAGAUAUACAAAGGGUAAACGUAAUUUUCGGAUUCCGAUCUCAUUUUGCCUUCAGUCUUCGAGAAGUCGACAAGUUAUGGUUUUUGCUCUCCAUGAACGGAAACGACGCUUGAAGACUUGCUGAGAGAUAACAUCCUUGGAUUAGAUGGACGAGUACUUAUAGGUGUAAUGAGCUGAUCGAAAAAUUCAUCAUUCAUAAGACGCAAAUGUUAACAAUGGUUUUUAUUAAACCAUAAUAAGUGAACACAGAAAAGGUAAAUCGAAAGGGGUCGAAAUGUGCAGAAGCAGAGCCCCACUCACACUUAUCUCUGUUGUGCUUGAAGAGAGGCCAUUUGUAAAAAGGGUUUCAACAAGGUGAAAAAAUAAGGACUAGAAACCUAGAGAAGAGGAGUCCCAUUAAUGCUUCCUCUUGGACAUGAAAGGUGCAAUUUUUCGAAAUACGUGCAGUCCAAUUGACACCGAUGUAUAUAAAGUUACACAUGUGAUGUCUUCUACUAUGUGGCUCAUUUCAUCAUCAGUGGUAUUAUUUUCCCUUUCUCAAGCAUCUAUUGUUGGAGAAACUUCUCUGUUAUCACCGCUUAUGAAUAAAACGAAUACCAUAGAAGAAUAUAUUUGAGGUAAGCGGUUGUUUUACUGUUUAAUUAUUUCUCUGGCAUCUAUGGUUUCGCUUCUAUCAAUUAUCUAUUGUUUACAGCAUAAAUUGACAUCGUCCAUCUAUGGUUAUCUCUAUUGCUUUUGGCAUUUAUCUGUCAUAAAUAUAAUUGACGCCCAUGUCGCCAUUUUAUAAUGUAGUUAUUUACUUGCCUUUUGGUGCAUGUUUUUAUUGUAUUUCAUGUUUUACUUAACUUAAUCCCUUCUUUAAUUAAUAU